Molecule: long non-coding RNA, 224 nt
Organism: Melanotaenia boesemani (Boeseman's rainbowfish)
Lineage: Eukaryota; Metazoa; Chordata; Actinopteri; Atheriniformes; Melanotaeniidae
Exons: 3
Source: RefSeq, a predicted model, not a curated record
CUGACGUAAUUGCGUCAUCAGCUGCGUUUGGUCAGUACUGGGAUGGAUUCGUCCGAGUGUUUACCGACUGAGCUCACCGCACCUGAUCCUGCAUUUCUGUGUUCUGUACAGAACUAAUAAACGGCCGGUGUUGGCGAGACCUGAGCAUCGCAAUAUCUUCAUUAAUUAACACAACGCAGAGCUACAACAUAUAUGAACCUGCCAGCACCCAGGACUGGCAUGGU